RNAcentral lists this ribosomal RNA (425 nucleotides) under uncultured Enterobacteriaceae bacterium. Its description in RNAcentral is "bacterial SSU rRNA". It matches the Rfam family "Bacterial small subunit ribosomal RNA", at positions 354 to 771 of the family's 1533-position model. The record is from RNAcentral. Lineage: Bacteria; Pseudomonadati; Pseudomonadota; Gammaproteobacteria; Enterobacterales; Enterobacteriaceae.
GUGGGGAAUAUUGCACAAUGGGCGCAAGCCUGAUGCAGCCAUGCCGCGUGUAUGAAGAAGGCCUUCGGGUUGUAAAGUACUUUCAGCGGGGAGGAAGGCGAUGCGGUUAAUAACCGCGUCGAUUGACGUUACCCGCAGAAGAAGCACCGGCUAACUCCGUGCCAGCAGCCGCGGUAAUACGGAGGGUGCAAGCGUUAAUCGGAAUUACUGGGCGUAAAGCGCACGCAGGCGGUCUGUCAAGUCGGAUGUGAAAUCCCCGGGCUCAACCUGGGAACUGCAUCCGAAACUGGCAGGCUUGAGUCUUGUAGAGGGGGGUAGAAUUCCAGGUGUAGCGGUGAAAUGCGUAGAGAUCUGGAGGAAUACCGGUGGCGAAGGCGGCCCCCUGGACAAAGACUGACGCUCAGGUGCGAAAGCGUGGGGAGCAA